AUUGAACGCUGGCGGCAUGCCUUACACAUGCAAGUCGAACGGCAGCACGGGUGCUUGCACCUGGUGGCGAGUGGCGAACGGGUGAGUAAUACAUCGGAACGUACCUUAUCGUGGGGGAUAACGCAGCGAAAGCUGUGCUAAUACCGCAUACGCCCUGAGGGGGAAGGCGGGGGAUCGCAAGACCUCGCGCGAUUAGAGCGGCCGAUGCCUGAUUAGCUAGUUGGUGGGGUAAAAGCCCACCAAGGCGACGAUCAGGAGCUGGUCUGAGAGGACGAUCAGCCACACGGGGACUGAGACACGGCCCAGACUCCUACGGGAGGCAGCAGUGGGGGAUUUUGGACAAUGGGGGCAACCCUGAUCCAGCAAUGCCGCGUGAGUGAAGAAGGCCUUCGGGUUGUAAAGCUCUUUUGUCAGGGAAGAAACACCGGCUCUAACACAGUCCGGGAAUGACGGUACCUGAAGAAUAAGCACCGGCUAACUACGUGCCAGCCGCCGCAGUAA
RNAcentral lists this ribosomal RNA (501 nucleotides) under uncultured bacterium. Its description in RNAcentral is "partial 16S ribosomal RNA". It matches the Rfam family "Bacterial small subunit ribosomal RNA", at positions 29 to 523 of the family's 1533-position model. The record is from RNAcentral.